AAUGCAUUGCUUCAUUCUAGGUCAGGCUGCCUGCAGAUAUAGCCCCUUUCCUCUGCUGCCUUAUUGCCGGUUCCAUUAAAUAAGUAUAUGACAAGAGCUUACUAAUACUGUAUGUAGUGUAGUCAACCUCCAUUAGUGAUAAUGAAAGUCAUCCUACACAAGAUCCCUCCUCUCUCUUGUCUCCCUCACACCAGCCACAAAAGUUUUCAAAGGUAAGUGCAUUUAUGUUUCAUUAUAUUUUAUAUUUUCUUUAUUGUUUUGUAUCACAUUACAGUAUCAUAAUGAUUUUUGUAUGAAUAUUUUUGGAUUGUGGGACAAAUCAUCUGAGGUUCCAUUAUUUCUUAUGGGGACGUUGGCUCUGAUAUAAAGUGCUUUGGAUCACAAGAUGUUUCUGGAACAAAUUAUGCUUGCAAACUGAGGCUUUUACUGUAUUUAGUUUUUUGUAUAUUUAAAGUAGCAUUGGUCAUAGUUUGUAUCUUAUACAAUUAAUUUCACUGCUCUGUUUAUGAGAGCUUUUAUAGUAUGUUAGAGCCAGUUUGGACUUCCAUCCCCAACCAAGUUGGAAGUUGGUAGGACACAAGAGGUUUUGCUCAGACCCAAAUGCCGCUUGAAAAAAAGGAGAAAUAUAAGCCCUUUCUAAUCUGUCUGGGAGCACAAAUGAUUUAUAGAUAUGACAUUUAACCACAAUCCCUUUGAUAUCAUUUGAGUUCAGUAAGGAACAAUUUCUUGAUGUUGUUUGUUUGAACAGAAAUAGCAAACUUGUGCAAAUGUUGGGCAAAGAUUUCUUCUAGGAACUCUGAAAAAGAUGAUUAUGUCAGAUAUAUUUGGACACAAUAAAUGACAGCAUGUUAUUUCCAUCUUUUUGUUUCCCCGUACAAAGGGGCAAAUUCAGCAUAUGAUGAGUGUUGGGGCUUCAGGACAAUACAAGGAAAUUUGGCUGUGAAGAAUUCGUUUGGAUGUUAAUUUUCAUGGACAAUUGACAGACACUAAUGCUGGAAGCCGAGCCAUCCCAGCCUGAGUGGCAAAGCCUGGGCUGUGGACGGAUUGGUGACUGCAAGGCAGCCAACCGACACUGAAGCUUCUUGUACUCCUGCUUUUAGAGGAAGGGUUUGGAGCUGCACGGACAAAUAGAGGAAAGACGGUCAUGGGACAAGAGAGGCAGACACUGAGGCAAUAUGGUUCUGCUGCUGAGAACACCAAGGAUUCCCAACAACCACCAGAAAGAAGCCAGAAGAGGCAAAGAAAGAUUCUCUCCUAGAUCCUACCUGUUGGCACCUUGAUUUGGGACUUCUAGCCUUCAGAACUGUGAAAGAAUACAUUUCUGUUAUUUAAGCCA
Herpailurus yagouaroundi (jaguarundi) is the source of this 1336-nucleotide long non-coding RNA. RefSeq lists it as uncharacterized. NCBI's taxonomy places the organism in Eukaryota, Metazoa, Chordata, Mammalia, Carnivora, Felidae. The record is from RefSeq and is a predicted model, not a curated record. The transcript has 4 exons.